RNAcentral lists this ribosomal RNA (403 nucleotides) under Fusobacteriota bacterium. RNAcentral describes it as "Fusobacteria bacterium partial 16S ribosomal RNA". It matches the Rfam family "Bacterial small subunit ribosomal RNA", at positions 355 to 776 of the family's 1533-position model. Lineage: Bacteria; Fusobacteriati; Fusobacteriota. The record is from RNAcentral.
UGGGGAAUAUUGCACAAUGGAGGGAACUCUGAUGCAGCGACGCCGCGUGAACGAAGAAGGCUUUCGAGUCGUAAAGUUCUUUUAUAUGGGAAGAUAAUGACGGUACCAUAAGAAAAAGCCCCGGCUAACUACGUGCCAGCAGCCGCGGUAAUACGUAGGGGGCUAGCGUUGUCCGGAAUCACUGGGCGUAAAGGGUUCGCAGGCGGAAAUGCAAGUCAGAUGUAAAAGGCAGUAGCUUAACUACUGUAAGCAUUUGAAACUGCAUAUCUUGAGAAGAGUAGAGGUAAGUGGAAUUUUUAGUGUAGCGGUGAAAUGCGUAGAUAUUAAAAAGAAUACCGGUGGCGAAGGCGACUUACAGGGCUCAUUCUGACGCUGAGGAACGAAAGCGUGGGUAGCAAACAGG